AGUAAAGUCGUAACAAGUUUCGUAGGUGAACCUGCGGAAGGAUCAUUAAUAAAUGUCUACUUUUUUAAGUAGACGCUUAUAUCUACCCUUUGUGAAUUUGUUGUUUUGAAAUAAUUUUUUUAAAAUUAUUGAUUGUCUUUCCUGUUGAUUGUUGUCUUAAUGGCAAAUGAUUCGCAGGGAUGUCAGUAUUUUAAAAAGACCUUUUUAAAUUAAACUUUUGUAUUCAUUGUCUAAAUUAUUUUUAUAAUAUAAAACAAUUUUGACAAUGGAUUCUUGGUUCUCGCAACGAUGAAGAACGCAGCAAAAUGCGAUAAGUAGUGUGAAUUGCAGAAUACGUGAAUAUCGAAUCUUCGAACGCAUAUUGCACUUUUUAGUUUACUAAAAAAGUAUGUCUGUUUGAGUAUCAGUAAAUAUUCUCAUAAAAACUUUUGUUUUUAUGGUUAAGAGUGUUUUACAACAACAGUUGUUUCACUUUAAAUUUUUUUAAAAUUUGAAUUUUUCUAAUUUUAAAAUAAAAUUGGAUAAAAUUUUCCCGUAAAAAAGAAUAACCUAAACAAUUUAAUUUUUGAUUAGAAUUCUUCAAUUAUAAAGGAAAAUUAACUAAAUAACUUGAUCUCAAAUCAGAUAAGAGUACCGCUGAACUUAAGCAUAUCAAUAACGAGAAAAGAAACUAACAAGUUCCUUAUAACGGCGAGUGAACGGGAAGAGCUCAAAUUGAAAUCUUCAAGGUUUACCUUGACGAAUUGUAGUUUAAAGAAGUGUUUUCUGUUGAAGUUUUGGUAAAAGUUCUUUGGAAUAGGACAUCAUAGAGGUGAGAAUCCGUAUUUGACCAUUAUUUCAGCUGUGUGAUACACUUUCAAAGAGUCGGAUUGUUGGAAUGCAGUCCAAAAUGGUGUAAAUUCAUCUAAAGCUAAAUAUUGCGAGAGACCGAUAGCGAACAAGUACCGUGAGGAAAGAUGAAAGAACUUUGAAAAGAGAGUUAAACAGUACGUGAAAUGUCAAAAGGGAAGCGUUUGACACAGUGUGUUUCUCGAAAAUCAAUUAAAAAAGUUGAUUUUGUGUGUAUUGACCUUAACAGCUUGCUUCAUCUUUUCUUGCUUUUUUAAUGCACUUUCGUUUAACAAGUCAACAUCAGUUUCUUUUGUUGUAAAAGGUCAUUGGAAGGUGGCUUUCUCUCGGAGAAAGUGUUUAUAGCUUUUGAUCUCUGCAUCGGAGAGACUGAGGUCUGCGCGUAGAUCCUUCGGGUUAGAUACAUUUGUGCUAAAGCUUUUCAUAGACAACUUUUGAAUAUGUUAGUCUUGUACUUACCGCUUAUGCUAUUUACUACGCUUAGGAUGUUGA
Molecule: unclassified non-coding RNA, 1341 nt
Filed under: uncultured Neocallimastigales
Lineage: Eukaryota; Fungi; Neocallimastigomycota; Neocallimastigomycetes; Neocallimastigales
Description: partial contains small subunit ribosomal RNA, internal transcribed spacer 1, 5.8S ribosomal RNA, internal transcribed spacer 2, and large subunit ribosomal RNA
Rfam family: Eukaryotic large subunit ribosomal RNA (bases 611-1341)
Source: RNAcentral